AUUCCGUGAUGAGGGCACUUUCGUAAUAACUCUUUGAAUCUUUCCCAUGCCUUAUACAAUGACUCAUCAUCCAUUUGUUAGAAAGCAGUAAUUGGAAAGCAAUAAUCUCAUUUCUCAGCUU
Gossypium hirsutum (cotton) is the source of this 121-nucleotide non-coding RNA. NCBI's taxonomy places the organism in Eukaryota, Viridiplantae, Streptophyta, Magnoliopsida, Malvales, Malvaceae. The record is from Rfam.